UCAUUCGUGCUUCGACACCCUCUUCCACUUUGAGGACAUGCAAGAGAUCAUAAAGAACUUCGUGGUGAUCCAUGUGGACGCGCCUGGCAUGGAGGAGGGCGCCCCGGCCUUUCCUCUGGGGUAUCAGUAUCCCUCACUGGACCAGCUCGCUGACAUGAUCCCCUGCAUCCUGCAAUAUGUCAACUUCACCAGCAUCAUUGGCAUCGGAGUGGGGGCUGGCGCCUAUGUUCUGGCCCGCUACAGCGUAAGUCAC
This is a long non-coding RNA of Gekko japonicus, 253 nucleotides long. RefSeq lists it as uncharacterized. The record is from RefSeq and is a predicted model, not a curated record. NCBI's taxonomy places the organism in Eukaryota, Metazoa, Chordata, Lepidosauria, Squamata, Gekkonidae. The transcript is spliced from 3 exons.